GCUUAUUUAAAUAUGUCAAAGUUUUAAUAAUUGACGAAAUCAGUAUGAUUGGUGCCGAGCUUUUGAACCAAAUAGAAAUAUUAAUUUUGGUGUUCUAGAAAUUAUUUUUAUUGGAGAUUUGCGACAAUUACCUCCAGUCCGUGUAACUCCAACAACGGAUGAUUGGACCCUUACAAAUGUUUGCUUCUAUUUUUACAAAAAUUGGCAGUGGUGUUAUUUUAAAUGAUGAUGAAUUUGCCGUUAUCGAGUCUAGAUUUUUUACGAAGGAAGAAGCCCUGCGCCUGUGUCCAAGUGGUGUACGAUUAUUUCAUGAUAAUGCAUCAGUUAACGCAUAUAACGUACUAGCUUUACAAACUGAAAGUACAAUAGAUUCAAUUUCAAUGGACAUUAUUUCUGGUUGUACUAAUCGUGAGCAAGAAACAAACAUGAGACAAAAAUUACACAAGUUGUCAGUGAUUGAUACUGGAGACGUGAUUAACGGUUUAGCUAACGACGCCGUUGGAAAGCUAGUUCAAAAUGAUGAAAAUCAAGUAACUCGCAUAUGGCUUGUUUUUCUAGAUAAAACACUGGUAAAGUGACUAGAAGAAAAGCCGCUGCCUUUUUUGCCGAACAUAAUAUCGAUAGACGUGCAGUACCUAUCGUACGUCGAACUUCAAGUAUACCACCAUUAAUAAUAAAACCAUUGUGGGAAAAAGAAAUAAUAUUCCAUUGAUAUCAAUGUGUGUUAUGACUAUUCAUAAGUCUCAAGGAGGUCUACAUAACAAGGUGGUCUAUGAGUAUAGUAAAAGUCAUUCUAUUCCCUUACUUUACGUAGCUUUAACACGAGUAACAAGUCUUGAAGGGUUGUUUAUAUGUAACAGGGUUGUUUAUAUAAUAUGAACAAAGAUUUUAUCAUGGAAGAAGAGUACAUCCAUCAGUUUCAAGUUUACAGCAAGAAUUCAAAAGAUUAUCUCUAAACAAGCUUACUACAUCGCAAGGACUUAUCAUUGAAUUUAUAAACUCCAGAAAUAGAUUAGCCAUUUAUUCUUUAAACUGCCAAAUUCUCAGAAAACAUACUACUGAUUUACAAGGUUCUAUAUGUCAAAGGCGUAACUUUUUAUUACUAACUGAAACAUGGCUUCCUGCAGAUGUCAGUUGACUUACCUAAUUUUCACUGUAUAGCUAAAUUUAAGAGACAAAGCCGGUGGAGUUGCCAUUUAUAAAAACAACAAAAAUUCACAUAUUACUGCAUUCAACAUGGAUUUAGUAAUUCAAAAUGCUACAGAAGUUAUUGUCUCCCAAACAUCUAUUGGAGAUAUGUGUGAUUCACAUGUUAAACUAGAAGGUGGAAGUCAAUUGAUGAUGAUUGUUGCGUACAUUUCUCCUAAUAAAAAGUAAAUGAUAUCAUUUCAUUUUUACACGAGAGAUUAUUUCCGUAUAGUCACAGAGGUUCAAUAAUUUUCAAAACCAAUAAAGACAAACUACCAUUGAGUUUUCAAUGUAAAUUUUGCAAAAGAUGAAUCAACGCCAUUAAUUUCGUUUCUCCAAGAAGAAUUUCAAUUGCAAAUUAAUAACAAUCCAAGAGAACCUACCACUAGAUACGAAACAACAAUAGAUGCUGUAUUUAUUAGAUAUCUUGAUAAUGUUAUGUCCAAUAAUUGUCUAACAUACUUCAGUUACCAUCGACCAAUUGUCACAGUAAUACUGUUCUCAGAGGCAACCGAAUUAAGUAGUCACGAUUUGAAAUAAAUUCGUAAAUUUUUGUAUUUAAUGAAAAUAAAUGUUUAUUCAAUAAAUAGUCAACGUUAUCUGGAAAAAAUCUUAA
Molecule: long non-coding RNA, 1804 nt
Organism: Bactrocera oleae (olive fruit fly)
Lineage: Eukaryota; Metazoa; Arthropoda; Insecta; Diptera; Tephritidae
Source: RefSeq, a predicted model, not a curated record